This 339-nucleotide unclassified non-coding RNA is filed under the name soil metagenome. Its description in RNAcentral is "partial contains 5.8S ribosomal RNA, internal transcribed spacer 2, and large subunit ribosomal RNA". The stretch from base 1 to 119 matches the Rfam family "5.8S ribosomal RNA", at positions 35 to 154 of the family's 154-position model. The record is from RNAcentral.
GAUGAAGAACGUAGCGAAAUGCGAUACGUAAUGUGAAUUGCAAAUUCAGUGAAUCAUCGAGUCUUUGAACGCACAUUGCGCCCCCUGGUAUUCCGGGGGGCAUGCCUGUCCGAGCGUCAUUUCAACCCUCAAGCACGGCUUGGUGUUGGCGGAUUGCGUGCCCUAGCGGCGCUGCACCCGCCCAAAUACAGUGGCGGUCCCGCUGCGGCUCCCUUUGCGUAGUAACUCACCUCGCACUGGACCGGGCGGCGGCUCGCCGUAAAACCCCAACUCACGAAAUGUUGACCUCGGAUCAGGUAGGAAUACCCGCUGAACUUAAGCAUAUCAAUAAGCGGAGGA